UGCUGAAGUAAGGUAAUUAAAGGUAAGUAAAUUGAUAUUUUUAAUUCAUCUUUAUUCAUCAUUUGCUAAGAAUAUUCAUUUACUUUCAAGAUGGUUGUGGAAAUGCCAAAUAUGAUAACAAGAGUAACAAACAAACCUUAAGUGAAUUGAUACAAGAAAGAAGAAUUAUAACUUUUUCAUAACACAAAUUAUUUAAGCAAUUUUGAUGGGGCAAAGGAAUAGAAUAAUAUUCAAUUCUGCAUUUUAUUUUACGAACGAUUGAACGAAAGAGAAAUACUAUUAGUUACAUACUGUGCUAGUGACCUAAUACAGUAGACAUGGGGUCAGUAAAUUCCCUAUGGGAUGAGAGCGAACGAAGCUCGAAUCCCCAUAUGGAAUUUACUGACCCCAUAUAUACCAUAUUACGUCACUAGCACACUAUUUAACGAAUUUAUCUUACCGACUCUCUUAACGUGUGAAAUUUAGACUAGUGACCUAUCAAAAUGAGCAGGUCUUCAAUACGGUUAGCAUUAAGAAACUUCUUCCAUUGAUCCUACAAAAACAGAUGCCAACAAUAACAACUUGUUAGGUUUAAAUGUGUUUUACGAAUUUAUUUCAAUCUUAAUCAUCAAUUUCUUCGAAACGUUUAAGAUUUUUUCUCAAUACCGUUUUUUUGUUUAUAAAUGGACGUAACACCACUACUAACCGUGUAUGAAAUAAGCCCCGCCUUCCUUUUAAUCUAAUAUGGAAUAUAAUAGGAAAUAUACACGAUCUCCACGCGGACUGUUUUAACCAAUUAUAUUCCUAGAAAUGCAUAGUAGGUAAGAUAAAUAUAAUUAUUUGAGAGGAUAUUGAUUACAGUAAUACUAUGUUGUGUUGCGAAUGUCCUUCUUUCAGAAAAAUGAAAGCAGUUGGGAGAUUUGGAAGAGUCACUGCUUUUGGAUUUGUUACGUAUACGGUUUUGGUUAUUUAUAUGAAUUUUCAAACAAAAGGUAAAACAUACUUUACUUUAUUUUGACAUGUUUGUAACUUUUAUUUCGAUAAAAUAUGGGACCUUUUUACACUGUUUUGUUAAAAUGUAAAUCUUCAACUGUUGGAAAGAAUCGAGAAUAAUAGCCUGAUGUCUGAGAGAUGCACAAUUGGAUAAGUGAUGUAAAAUAAGUGUUAUGUUUGGACCAAUGACAGUCAUUUGCACCAAAUUCAAAAGUCUAUAUUUGGGCUAAUCCCACCAUGUUCAUGUAAAUACGUGUAGGUAAUAAUCUAUUUUACUUUAUAGCCUAUAUUGUUUCUAGUUCUAAUGUUACAGCUCAUAAAAACUUUGAUAUUGUGAUACUGCCUGACGCUAACUGUAAACUCACUUUAAUAAGUUAGUGCUACACUUUUCUAUUUAACCAAGCGCGGAUUUUUCAAUGAUCAAAAUUUUGGUCAGUUGUAGGCUGCAUCUUGAUAAGUUCUUGCUUUUUAAAAAAAAUUUCAUAUAUUUCAUGCCAAAUUUUGAUAUCUACUAUUCAAUUUAACGGGUAGAACAAAAUUAUUCAGUCCAAAUUUAAAUUUUUGAGGAGGGGACUAUCUGAAAGUUAUCUAUUCAUCUAACAAAUUAAAAAACUAAUUUCACAUCUUUAAUAGUUGCAAUUUGUGUGUCAUUCAGUAUGUUUUUUGUUUUUUUUUAAAUACAUGCAUUUGUGAUAGACAAAGUGAUAAGGUAUAUCAACAUUUGUUGAAAGAUGUCCAAAUAUAAGUGCAUACCAUACAUUUUUCUGUAAAAUUUCAAAACCUUGAAUGAUGAAUAUAUAGUUCAUUUACGAAUAAAAAAAAACACUUUCAAUUGAAAGAAGUGAUUAAUUCCUGUUGUUUACCAUAAAAUAUGAAUGUUUAAAUUUACUUUGCAUUUUCACAUCAUCGUUUCAGAAACAAAUGUUGAAUGGCUUCUGAAAAAACACUUACGCAGUUUAAACCAUCAACAACACAAUGAUGUGUUG
Molecule: long non-coding RNA, 1958 nt
Filed under: Mytilus galloprovincialis (Mediterranean mussel)
Lineage: Eukaryota; Metazoa; Mollusca; Bivalvia; Mytilida; Mytilidae
Source: RNAcentral